CUACGGGGGGCUCCAGUGAGGAAUAUUGCACAAUGGGGGAAACCCUGAUGUAGCAACGCCGCGUGGAGGAUGACGCAUUUCGGUGUGUAAACUCCUUUUAUCAGAGAAGAAAAUGACGGUAUCUGAUGAAUAAGCUCCGGCUAACUCCGUGCCAGCAGCCGCGGUAAUACGGAGGGAGCAAGCGUUAUUCGGAAUCACUGGGCGUAAAGGACGCGUAGGCGGGUUUUUAAGUCAGGUGUGAAAUCCUAUGGCUCAACCAUAGAACUGCACUUGAAACUGGGGACCUAGAGUAUGGAAGGGGCAGGUGGAAUUAGUGGUGUAGGGGUAAAAUCCGUAGAUAUCACUAGGAAUACCGAAAGCGGAGGCGACCUGCUGGGACAUUACUGACGCUGAGGCGUGAAAGCGUGGGGAGCAAACAGGAUUAGAUACCCGGGUAGUC
This 439-nucleotide ribosomal RNA is filed under the name uncultured bacterium. Its description in RNAcentral is "partial 16S ribosomal RNA". It matches the Rfam family "Bacterial small subunit ribosomal RNA", at positions 339 to 795 of the family's 1533-position model. The record is from RNAcentral.